UUGAAAGUGAAUCAAGUAGUGCAU
Molecule: non-coding RNA, 24 nt
Filed under: Arabidopsis thaliana (thale cress)
Lineage: Eukaryota; Viridiplantae; Streptophyta; Magnoliopsida; Brassicales; Brassicaceae
Source: RNAcentral